UGUUUUUACUUUACUCUAUGGACUCGCCUCAAAUUCUUUCUUGCACAAGAACUGAGAACCCUCUCUUGGGAUCUGGAUCAGGACCCCUUUCUGGUAACAUCUUCCUGGCAAACCCCAAAGGGAUGAUACUGAGGAGACUUCUGACCCAAAGGAAAUGGACUGGAGCACCAAUUGGCUAACUUUGGGUUGGCCCCCAGUGCUAUGGUGCACUGAGCUGGGUUACUAGGGCCACUUAGGAAAAGGGAACCCAGAAGCCUAGCAUGCGGCAAAAGGGAUCAAGAAAAACUUUUUUUUAAGCUACUUGUAGCUUUUCACAAUUGAGUAAGGUAUACUCCUGUAAACAAAAUUUGGAGCACAUUCGUCUCUCUCUACCUGAUUUCUCCAGAAUUUGAAAACUAGUUGACAACUUUGUGCCCUGUCUUCCAGUUUAACAUGGAGCUUUCAGUCUGUAAUGCAGAGGAUCCUCUAGGGUAUAACUCCACAAGGCAGAAGACAAGUUUACUGUGGACAAAAAAAUGGGCUAGAAUGUCUUCAGCUUCUCAGGCCCUUAAUAGGGCUGAUGAUGGAUGACUCUACUGGAGAAAAGGAAGACAAAGAGGUUUCAGAUCAUCAAUAAAGCAGCUGACUCUCAAGAAAUGGCUGGAAAUCAUAUUUAAAGUCGAUCUUAAAUGAAUUUGAAAAAAAUGCACAUAAAGAUCGUUACCUGCCUCGUUUGGACAUAUCAGACCUAUGAAUAUUUAUGUAGAAACAAGAGCUUAUAAUUAUCA
Molecule: long non-coding RNA, 767 nt
Filed under: Homo sapiens (human)
Lineage: Eukaryota; Metazoa; Chordata; Mammalia; Primates; Hominidae
Description: long non-coding RNA NONHSAT165558.1
Source: RNAcentral